RNAcentral lists this ribosomal RNA (375 nucleotides) under uncultured bacterium. RNAcentral's name for it is "bacterial SSU rRNA". It matches the Rfam family "Bacterial small subunit ribosomal RNA", at positions 521 to 896 of the family's 1533-position model. The record is from RNAcentral.
UAAGACAGAGGGUGCUAGCGUUGUUCGGAAUUACUGGGCGUAAAGGGCGCGUAGGCGGCCCGUUUAGUCGGGUGUGAAAUCCCGGGGCUCAACCCCGGAACUGCAUUCGAUACUGGCGGGCUAGAGACCGGAAGAGGUGGGUGGAAUACCCAGUGUAGAGGUGAAAUUCGUAGAUAUUGGGUGGAACACCGGUGGCGAAGGCGGCUCACUGGUCCGGUUCUGACGCUGAGGCGCGAAAGCGUGGGGAGCAAACAGGAUUAGAUACCCUGGUAGUCCACGCCCUAAACGAUGUGUGCUAGAUGUCGGGGGACUUGUCUCUCGGUGUCGGAGUUAACGUUUUAAGCACACCGCCUGGGGAGUACGGCCGCAAGGUUA